CCUAACACAUGCAAGUCGAGCGCGUACCUCGGGUACGAGCGGCGGACGGGUGAGUAACACGUAGGUCAUCUACCCUUUGUGGGGGGAUAACCCAGGGAAACUUGGGCUAAUACCGCACGAGGUCUACGGAUCAAAGCCUUCGGGCGCCAGAGGAUGAGCCUGCGUCGCAUUACCUAGUUGGUAGGGUAAUGGCCUACCAAGGGGACGAUGCGUAGCUGGUCUGAGAGGAUGAUCAGCCACACUGGGACUGAGACACGGCCCAGACUCCUACGGGAGGCAGCAGUGGGGAAUAUUGCGCAAUGGGGGAAACCCUGACGCAGCCACGCCGCGUGGGUGAUGAAGGCCUUCGGGUUGUAAAGCCCUGUCGGGAGGGACGAAUUCAUGACGGUACCUCCAAAGAAAAGCACCGGCUAACUCCGUGCCAGCAGCCGCGGUAAUACGGAGGGUGCGAGCGUUGCUCGGAA
Molecule: ribosomal RNA, 464 nt
Filed under: uncultured bacterium
Lineage: Bacteria
Description: bacterial SSU rRNA
Rfam family: Bacterial small subunit ribosomal RNA
Source: RNAcentral